Molecule: non-coding RNA, 9504 nt
Organism: Rattus norvegicus (Norway rat)
Lineage: Eukaryota; Metazoa; Chordata; Mammalia; Rodentia; Muridae
Source: RefSeq, a predicted model, not a curated record
AGCCAGCCCUUGGUAAGCUGAGGAGGCUGGGACUGUUGUUCACCCAACCUGUGCUCUGUUUGGAGAGGAGUAAUGGGGAACAAAGUACAGACGAAGCCUUAGGGGCAGGGAGCGCUCGAACAGAAGCAGUAGCUAGCGUCAAGCAGAGGUCUGCAUGUCAGAGACUCAUGUUUGGGCAAAUCAAGUGCUUGGAACUCUAGGGCUGGCCAGCAUACCCUGCCCACCCUUCCAUUCCCCAGCAGUCAGUGUUCUGCCAGACCUCUGUGGGGACUGGGAGGACCAUGAGCCAGCUUCGUGCAGCAUGCUUCUCCUAUAACCAAAGAUGCUAGACUUCAUGGGGGUUAGGGAGAACCUAGACUAAGUUGGAGCUAGUAGGACCCCAGGAGGAGGCUCUCGUGUCCCAGAGGUCUCAAGGAGGCUAUGGCUGGGACCCUUUGCUUGAAUUUGUUGAGAGCUACUUUGUGCAAACAUGGAGCCAGGCUUGGGGAAACCAGACAAGAAAUGGCACAGUAGGGGUUCUGGGAAGAGAGGGGUAAGGUAUAAUAAAAGAGACGUGGAAAAAAGCAAACCUCCCAAGAAUACAAGAGACUUGCUGGUGGUGGCACAUGCCUUUAAUCCCAGCACUCGGGAGCCAGAGGCAGGCAGAUCUCUGUGAGUUCGGAGCCAACUUGGUUUUACAGCACUAGUUCCAGGAUGGCCAGGGCCACAUAGAGAAGCCCUGUCUCGAAACAAACAAAUACAAGAGAGGCACAGGAACUCACAAGAGAUUUACCAACACUCACCACACUCUUCUCUGGGUUAUAUAAGCAGUAACCAAUUGCUGGAGACAAGGGGAUGCUCCAGCAUCUUUGACUGCAACCAGGAAACUCAAGCAGCUUCCAUGACUCGUCACCCAGGCUGAUGUCACCUAGGCUGAUGUCACCCUGGCUGAUGUGGGCCUCAUGAUUCAGCUGCCUGAGUCACCUACACUUUUGUAAGUAACCCUUACAUUUUAUAGUUUUCUCAUUGUCAUGACAAACCACCCAUCCAAAGUAAUUCAGUGAAGCGUACAGCCUGUUGCAGAGUGACAUCAUGGCAGCAGGGAUAUGAGGCAGCUUGGUCAUGUUAUGCCUGCUGUCAGGAAACAGAAGGAUGACCUCACUCUCCCUUUCUUCGUUUAUUUCAAGAACGCAGCCCACGGGAUGGCGCUGUCCACCUGUAGGGACUGUCUUCCCACCUCAGUCCGAGUCUAGAGACUUCCUUCCUCUCAGACAAAAUGCGCAAAGGCUUGUUUCCAUGGUGGCUCCAAAUCCCAUCAAGUCAGUUAAGAUCAAUUACCACAUACCCACGCUUCUACCAGCCAUUCUAGUAAACUCAUUGGUUCACAAGCUAGACUUGAAUUUCCUCUUUGAUCUGUCAUUAAUGUCCUGCCUGUGGUGACCAGAUAUUUGUUCAUGUUCCCCAGGAAAAGCUAUGCAAUACCUGUGUGGUUCAGACAAAGUCUAGAGAGACUGGGCUGAGGGGGUUUGGAGGAGGACUGUCAGGAUCAAACUGCAAACGACUUUGGGAGAAAGCCACAUAGACUUCUAGCAGGAAACAGGAUGCAUGUAGCUUGUGGUCACUGACUGAGUCUCAUAACCUGUGCUGUUCUGUCCUGUGGAUGUGCAGCCUCUCUGAAUCUGCUUUGUGGGAGCAAGGUCGGGUCCCACUUGGAGGCCUUUCUGGCUGUCUCAGGGCUGGACAGUUUGGAGGUGUGGUCCUUUGCUGGGGUUGGACAGGUUAAGACUGUAGACAUGCUAUGCCCACUUCCUGCAAGGUGCUCUCCCUACAGUGUCCCCUUGGCAGCAGAGUUUGUGAUCCAAGGUGUAGACUGUGGGUCAGCACCUGGGGGAAAAAGAAGAGGGGCCAUGAGAGUUUCCCACACUGGGGCAAGCUAGCUGCUUCACUUGGAUGGAUGUGGCUGGGGGAGACUUCAACGGGAGACUCACAGUGGGGGACCAGCUACUGAUUAUCCCCAGCUGGACAAUAAGGCUUUCUGUCUCUCCCAGGCUACUCUUGGCUAUGAUCUGCGCCUACCUAAUCAUCCCAACUCAUUCUCAGCCGCGAGUAUCAAGAGUAUCUGUAGUAGAGUCUGAAGGUAGUGUCUUUCAUCUGUCUGUCUUUCUCUGUGUUUGUUUCUCUCCUUCCUUCACCCCUCUCCCUCUUUCUCCAUUCCCCCUUCCUUCCCUCCCCUCUCUCCUAUCUAAGAUGAGUUCUCAUUCUGCUAUCCAGGCUGGCUUUAGACUCUUGAGCUCAAGUGAGCCUUCUUCAGUUUCCCACGUGCAGAGGUCCCAGGCCUGUACCAUCGUGCCAGCUUUGGUAUAGUCAUAAUUUUUUUCUUGUAAAUAUGGAAUAAUGCAUGGAUUUGCAUGUUGUUCUUGGGCAGGGGACCAUGUUAAUCUCUGCAUUUCACUCUCUGUGCUGUGGAAGCAAGAAUGGGAUAUUCUUUCUUUAGAGUGGAAAAAUGCUAUCUAGUGAGAUGGAUCAGCAGGUAAAGCCUUGCAAACUUGGUAACCCAAGCUAGGCACAUGGAUCCUACAUAAAGGUGGAAGGAGAGAGCUGACUCUACAAAAUUGUCCUCUGAUGUCUACACAUGCUGGUUAGUGUGUGGAAAGGGGCUAUGGGGCUUUGUCCUCAGGGUAGACACCUCAUCCUUUCUUACCUCCUUGGAGAUUCCUAGUGAGGCUGGCUAAAUUACUGUCCAGCUCCAGAGUUUGACCUGUCCCUGGGUUGUGGCUUGUAUAGGAGAGCCAGGGUUAGAAGCCCUGAAGUGCGGCCUCCCACUGGCUGUUUGAUCUGUCCAGCAGCUGACUUGCAGACUCUACUUCUCCCAUGAAUGACCACAGGUGAGUGGAUGCCUGUCAAGUAAAAAGGAUAAGGUCAGAGAACACCAGCCUUUCUCUGCUUGGUGGAUUUUGUAGGCUUCGGUAUCUGCAAGGUUUGGGUUCGGGGUCAGGAUGUAGGAGAAUGUGAAGAACAUGAACUUUGGCCUCUAGGUAUAGGAAACAGGAACAGAAAACUAUGUGUAUGUGAGUCCACCUUUGGUGUGUGGCACAGGAGCUAGCUGGAUUAGAUUGCUGCCCAGAUGCUAACCUUGGACAGGUGACACUAAUGGCCAUAUAUCAGAUGGUUCAGGUGGAUGAUGACCAAGAUUUCACACAGAGUGGAAAUGCCACUUGCUACCUGCCACUCCUGAGCCCUAUCCCUCUCUCACAGAUUGGUGCAUAGGAUUGGCUACACACACACACACACACACACACACACACACACACACACACACACACACAUUAAUAUAUAUUAAUUAAUUAAAGCAAUUAAAUUUAAUUGGAUAUUUUUUAACUAAUUUAUUUACAUCAAAUGUUGCUCCUUACCAGGUCUUAAGCAAUGGGGAUCCAGCCUGUGUUUGCGCCUGUACUCUACUCUAGACACAGGCAUCUGGGGUAGAGGUGGGAGCUCUACCAAAGACUGAGGUAGGACCGAGGUUCUCAGGGCUCCUUAGUUUACUCUUGGAGAAUGCUGUCUUUGCAGUGACCCAACCCAAACCCCUUUGCUGAUGGGUCUGGCAGGACCUGGUAUCAUCCAGACGAUGUAAGUACAGAACAAAAUAAAGCAAGUAAUGUUUAAUAAGACCUUGCAAUAUGGGGUUGGGGAUUUAGCUCAGUGGUAGAGCGCUUGCCUAGCAACCGCAAGGCCCUGGGUUCGGUCCCCAGCUCUGAAAAAAAGAAAAAAAAAAAGACCUUGCAAUAUAGGUGGUAGCUUAUGUGGCCAGCCACUUUUAGCUCCCUCAGCUUCCUUUCUGAAAAAUGCACAAGUAUCCUACUCAUGGGUAUGCUAUUUUGAGGUUGGAAAGUUUCCUAUAAAUGCUAGGGCUAUGCCUGGUGCAUUGUAUGUGAUCAAUAAGAGCUGGAUAUUGGGUAGGGAAGUAGCUCAGUGUAGGAGUGCUUGCCCUGGGUUCAAUCUCUAGCAAUACACAUGCACGCACGCACGCACGCACACACGCACACACGCACACACACACACACACACACGUGCACAUAUGUGCACAGGUAAACACACACACAAAUACAUAUGCACACACAUGCAUACACAUAUAAAUCUGCACACACAGGCAUACCCAUGCACAUGUACACACACACACACACGUGCACAUGUGUGCACAGGUGAACAUACACACAAAUACAUGUGCACACACAUGUACACACAUAUACACCUGCACACACACAGGCACACCCAUGCACAUGUAUACACCCAUGCACAUGUAUACACACAUACACACAAAUACAUAUGCACACACAUGCACACAUACAUAUACACCUGCACACACACAGGCACACACAUGCACAUGCACACACACAAGUGUACACAUGUACAUGUGUACACAGGUGAGCACCCACACAAAUACAUAUGCACACACAUACAUGUGCACACACAUGCAUACAGAAGCACACGCAUACAUAAAAUGGCUAGCCCAAGCAUUCACCUCAGUAUUCUAGAUUCUUUCUUUCUUUUCUCUGGGUCUGAUGUAGCCCAGGCUAUCCUCUAACUUGCUCUAUAGCCAAAGAUGACCUUCAACUUCUGAUCUUUCUCCUUCUACCUCCCGAGUGCUGGAACUAUAGGCAUGUGCAGCCACACAUAGCCUGGUGCUCUGAAUUCCCACAAAAGAUAUCCAAUAGAUAAGAAAUGUUUAUUCAUCAAAUGAAUGAAUGAGAUUAAUGAAAUACUGAAUUAUAGGAUAAAAUCCAAAGUAACUCAGCAGAAAGGGACCGGGAAAACUUCAGUUCACCUGGGAAGUGACAAACAGCAAAUUCUAGCUUUGAGAUCCCACAGAUGUUGGGCUUAUCUAUCUCACAAGGACUUUUCUUUGGAGACUCAGUUGUGUAAUGUGAUGUUUUUCUGGAAACUGUCUUAUGAGAGGAUGUUUUCGCUGAAGCAGACACGUGGGAGGGCUGAGAACAGACACGGUGUUUUUCUGGAGGCAGCCUGGAAAAAGGGCAUGCAAUGUUUUGCUAGAGCUGAGGCUUGAGAGAACACGUGAUGUUUGGGGAGGGUAUAAAAAUAACCCAACAGACAGUAGACGACACUGCAUGGUAUUGGUUCCCUUUGCCCUCUUUGCUGGCCAUUGUAUGUUGUGACUUCAAAGAGAGAAAUGCAGCAAAGAACUUCUGGUGGUGUCCUGGCAGCUUCUUACCAGCUUCCAAGUACUCCGGCUGAUUGGCAGGCCAUGUGGUUUCUUCUGGAUUGAACUGCCAUUGCUGAUUCUCAUGGUGUUUGCAAGUAUAUCAAGCUACCAUUCCUGAUUUGUGUGAAUUUAACUGCUGGUAUCCUGACAAUGCAGAUUGGGUUUGCUCCAAAGAACUAUUUCUAAACAGGUCCACAUCCUCCUUUGCCCUAUUAACCUUUCCUUUCCACUGCCUCAGGUGGGGGGAUGGGCUCAAAGCAAGGUUAAGGUAUUUAAGUAGGUUUUGGGGCUGUAGAGAUGGCUCAGCAGUGAAGUGGAAACUUAAGGGUUCUUGGAAAAGUUGGAUGAAUGGUGGUUUGCCGGGGGCAAACACAUGAAGGAAUAUUUAGCUGAAGCAGACACAGGAGAAAGGAUGUUCUUCUAAAGCAAGCACAUAAAAGGACUACCUUAUAUUGCAUAGUUGAACUGCAUCUGUUGGGACUCCAUAGAGAGAAAUGCACUAAAAAUCUUCUGGUGAUGUGCUGCAGUUUCUUGCCACUUCUAUGGACUUGAGCCGAUUGGCAGAGUGAAGUCAGCUGAGACAGAUGCAUGUGCUGAGGCAAGACACAUGGAGGACACGUGAUGUGUGGAGGGUUUAAAUAGGACUCACGGGACAGUGACUGAGGCUGAGCUAGGCUUGCUCAUGGAGAUAGCUGUGCAAUGCUUGUCGGUGUAGUGAGAGCUUUUGACUACAUCAGGAAUGGGCCCCGCUUCCACCCACCCAGGGAAUCUCUGGAUCUGCAGAUGAAACACACACACACACACACACACACACACACACACACACACACACACUAGCCCAUUUUUUAACCCGCCUUACUGGCUCAGUGGCCAACCCUCCUGGGGCUAGUGUGCCCUUCCCUUUACUCUUAGCUCAAUACCUCUAAGCCUGCCCUUAGCUUAGUUGCCCGGUUAUGGUCUGUGAAGCCCAUUGGUCUUGCUGCCUGAGAUGCUUUCGGUCUGCCCUUCCGUGGGCCACUCUCCCUUUUCACCUGCAUUCUGUAAGCUCUCCCCUGAAACUCCGAGUCUGUUCUGUCUCUCUCCCCCAAGUAUCUUGAUUCUUCUCUUCCUGUCUUCUCCUCUUUCUUAGCCUGUGGGAAUCUGGAAGUCCCACCUUUUUCUUUCUGCCCAGCCAUUGGCCACUGACAUCUUUAUUGAUUGAUCAAGAACCUAUUGGGGACAAGGACCUUAGGGUAUAGACAUGUAGGUUCCCAAUCAACGCAUCAGAACCACCCCCUACAAGUUGGUCUUGUGUCUUUGCUGAGAGAAGCAGAGCCAAGAACUUUUCCUGGCACCCCUCUGGGUCCCUCUUGCUGAGGCUGAGGCCUGGCUGUCUCUGCUAGAUAGUGCCACUGCUGCUGAUUCGUGUUUCCUGCCUCGACUCUACCGGACUGUACUGCCGAUAUAUCUGUGAAGUGUUUGUGAUAUAUCUGUGAAGUGUUUGCGAUAUAUCUGUGAAGUGUUUGCGAGUGGAUUGAGCUGCCGAUGCUGACCUGUGAACUGAACUGCCCAUUUCCAGACAACACAGACAGGAGUGGCUCCAAAGAACCUUUCUACACAGGUCCACUUCACCCGUAUCCUUUUUUUCCACCUCUGGUGGGUGGUGGGCUACAAGAGAGGUUAAAGUGUUUAAGAACCAUCAUUAAAAAUAGGCAUUUGAAAAAAUUGAAGCCACACAGGAGCUAAGAGCACUGACCGCUCUUUCGGAGCACCCGAAUUAAAUUCCCAGCAACCACAUGGUGGCUCACAACCACCUGCAGUGGGAUCCGAUGCCCUCUCCUGGUGUGUCUGAAGACAACUACAGUGUACUCAUAUACAUAAAGUAAAUAAAUAAUCCUCAAAGUAGGGUUAGAAAAAUCUAAGCCUACAAGAUGUUAAAGCAAUGAUUGUAAAAACAUGCAUCAAGCAAACAUGAACACAUACAAUAAUGGAGUCAGGACUGGAUGAAACUCAAUGUCCAUUCAUGACAAAUGCUCUCUACAAAGUAGUACCAGAAAAGAGCACCUUCAGUCUAGUAAGGGGCGUGGAUAAAGUUUGGGCAACAAGACAUGCACUGGUUGCAGGAAGGGACUCUUCACUCUCACCACAAUCUUUCUAUACCCACGAGUCUUAGCCAGAAAAACAAAACAAGGAAACAAGAGGCAUGCGGAUUACAAAUGGAGAUGUAAAAUUAUCACUAUUAACAGGUAAUGGUAAUUGCCUUUGUAGGGGGUCUCAAGGAAUCUAUGAAGAAGGUAAUCAGAUGGACAUUGAGGGCAGCAAGAUCGAAAGACACAAAGCUAACACACAAAAUCAAUGUGCUGGGGCUUAGCGGUUAAAGAGUACUGACUGCUCUUCCAGAGAUCCUGAGUUCAAAUCCCAACAACCACAUGGUGGUUCACAUCCAUCUGUAAUGGGAUCUGAUGCCCUCUUCUGGUGUGUCUGAAGACAGCAUCGGUGUAUUCACAUAUAUAAAAUAAAUAUAUCGUUAAAAAAAAAAAGCACCAGAACCAGUGCAAAGUGGGCAGCAGAGAUGGCCGUGACCCAUGGAGCCUCACAUGGUGAUGAGGAUGAGGAAGCUGUUUGUCAAACAGAAGAGCCAAGAACCAUGACCUCAGACCAGGCAAAAUCCACAAUAUCACAGAAAAACGACUGCUUAAGAGAGAGAACUGGAAGGAGCCUGCGAUCACAGGAUGUGACUCAAUAGUCAGCAUGCCAACCCACAAGCCGAUGAACCGAUUUCAUGGCUUCCCGGUGAAAAUCAGCUAGGUGCUGUAGACAUGAACACACAGAUGCUCAAGGUAAGUUAGAAAAAGACGAAUUAGAAUCGCGAAAGUAGAAUAGAAAAAAGAACUGCGCUGCUUCAGUUCUAAACAUUGAGGUCAGAUUUACUGUAAAGCCAGUUUUUUAUUUGUCAAGAGGUCUUUAUGUGUAUGUCUGUGAGUUGUGCACACAGGUACGAGGCGAAGCCUGGUAACUUCUUCGAUCAUUCUCCACAUUACAGAGGCAGGACCUCUCGUUUGAUCUGGAGCUGGCCAAUUCUGGCUAUUGUAGCUAACCAGCUUGCUCCAGGGAUCUCUUGUUUUUGACUCAUGAAUGCUGGGUGAAGAGACUGCCAUGCCUGUGUGGCUUUUAUAUGAGUUCUGGGGAUGCAAACAAUGGUCUAUUUACAGAAAACAAAGGCUCAUAAUUUUUCUUAUUGCCAUUUCUUAGUAUGUAAAUAUGAAAUUAGCAUAUUUAUGGAUUGUAUUGUAUUAGAAUGCUUGAUUUUAGAAACAGCUGUUUGGGAUGCUUGGGGUAGGAAAGAGACAGGAAAAACUUUCUGGGAAUGCAGAAAGGGGAAGAAGCCCCUUGUCCUGGAAUCCCAUUUGCGAUCUUUGUUGUCUGAGAGAGAAUCAAUUUUGACACAGCUUGUAAACUCGAAAUUACCUGCAAAGGGCUGGAGGGAUGGCUCAGUGGUUAAAAGCACUGACUGCACUUCCAGAGGUCCUGAGUUCGAAUCCCAGCCACCACAUGGUGGCUCACAACCAUCUGUAAUGAGAUCUGAUGUCCUCUUCUGGUGUUUCUGGAGACAGCUACCCUGUACUUAUAUAUAAUAAAUAAAUCUUUAAAAGAAAAAUCACCUGCAGAGAUAGUGCCUGUCCUAAAGGCAUCUCAAAGAAGAUGUCAAAAACAGCAGACCGUGUUUCCACUGGGUGAGAAUGUGUGUGACCCACAGCUUAACGGCUAACGCUCCCCUAGUCCCUAAGUCUAAGCAGCACAUCUCAUGACAUCGCCUUACAAUCUCAACUAACAACAACACACUCCUUGGGCCGGAGAGGUGGCUCAGCAAUUAAGACUGAUUUCUGUUCCUUUGAGGACCAGAGUUUGGUUCCCAGCACCCAUGUUGGGGCUGCCCACGGCAGCCUGUAAUUCCAGAUCCGGGAGAUCUAAGGUCUCUCUGGCUUCUAAACUGUUGGAUUAUUAAAAGAUAUCUGUAGAGUAACAGAAGGUAGAAAAAAGAUAAGCUUAGCCUAACGUCAGGUGCAACCAUUUCAUUCACAUUGAGGGAGCAUCCUUUGUCACCCGUGAGUCUCCACAAGAAGAUGAAAUGCAAGUUUCUUUUUUUUAAAGAUUUAUUUAUUUUAUGUUUAUGAGUACAUGGUAGUUGUCUUCAGACACACCAGAAGAGGGCAUCAGAUCCCAUUACAGAUGGUUGUGAGCCACCAUGUGGUUGCUGGGAUUUGAACUCAGGACCUCUGGAAGAGCAGUCAGUGCUCUUAACCACUGAGCCAUCUCUCCAGCCCCGA